UUUUUUAUAUUAAACGCGCGGUUAAUAACUAUUUCCGCAUAAUAUUUGGUCAACGCCUUUUUUAUUUUGGAUAUCGUUAUCGCGCGUUGCGCGAUAAUUGUUAAUGGUGCUAAUUUUUCGUUAAUUUUGGGGUACGCACCGAAUAUUAGCAAAAUUGGAAUUAAUCCGUUUGGUCCGGUUAUAUUGUUCAAGGUUUUUAUUAUUAUUUGCAAAAUAGUUUUUUUAUCCGCAUUAUUUUUUAAUUUUUGGAAUAAAAUGUUAAACGUACGUCGCAACGGGGCGUGCGCGCGUUUUAUUUUUCCUAAUACCCAAUAUAUUUCCACAGGUAUUUUUUUGCAUAUAAUUCCUAUUAUUUUGGCGUUGUUGUGGAAUUUUUCCGAUAUAAAAUUUUUCCCUGGAUUGUGCGAAAUAAUAUUUGGUGGACUGAAAUAAAUAUAAAUCCAAAUUUUAUAUAAUACGUUCCAAAUCGUAUGGGCUAAUAUAUUUUUAAAAAAUAUUGCUAUUUGGAAUUCCGUCGCAUUAUCGAUAAUAUAUAAUAUUAAUUUACCAUCCAAUUAUAAUAUGUCCAAAAUAAUUUUAUAAUUGAAUUCGCAUUCGUUUUUAAUGGAAAAUUUAAAUUUUUGAGGAAUUGGGUCGUGCGUUUGGUAUUGGUGGCAAAUUUUGGUUAUUUUUUCCAAUAUAUUUUGUCGUACGUUUCGGUGGCCUAUUUCCUGUAAAAAUUUGUAAAAUUUUUCCGUGCGAAAAUGUCCGAAUUUUUUAUAUAAUUUUCGAAAUUUUUAUUCGGUAAAAAAUAUUGCCGCUUCCGUGCGAUUAAUAUUAAAAAAUGGGUGUCCCCAUUUUUUCACUAUUGGUAUUUUGGUGCCGUUUUUGCGUAUAAUAACGUUUUUAACGUUGUUAAAAUACGUUUCCAAUUUAUUUGUAUCGUGCAAAUAAAAAAAAAAUAAUAUUUGUACGUUUAAAAUAUAAUAGGUAAUAGUUUCCAAUGCGUUUUUUAUAAUUAUGGUACCAAUAACUUAUUUAAUUUUGCCUCCUCCGAAUCGCAUUUCCGUCGAUCCCGGUAUCCAAUUUAUGCGCGCGCGCGGGUUUUUCCUUAAAUAUAUUAAUAUUUGGCAUUUUCCUAUUAUUAAUACGCGCGCGGCCCCUAUAUUUUACAAUUUUUUUUAAUAUAUUAUAUUAUAUUGGUUAUAUAAUACAAAUUAAUUUAUUUGUUAUUUGGGUUUUAUAAAAUAUAUAUUUUUUCCUGUCGCGCGAUGGAAAAAUAUUUGGUUUUGGAAAAAUUGUGCGGUUUAAUAUUGGUUAUUUUUAUUUUUUUCCUCGUUAUUAACUUCGUUAAUAUCGUUAUACGGUUGAGGUUUGUUCGUUUUCCAAUUGGUAAAAAAUAGGUCGAAAUUUUCGCGUUUUUUUCCCAAAAUAUCGCACGUUUGGUGGUAUUUUUGGCGUGCGUUUUCCCUUUUUUCCUUAAUAUAUUUCCAGGAUUUGCAAUUUUGUUUUUUUGCAUACGAAAUAAUAAUUUGCAUUUUUUUCCUGGAAUAUAAUUGGAUUUAUAUGCGUACGUAUGCUAUUUUUUGGGCCUGGUAACCUUAUGUUAUUUUUGGGGGUAAAAUUGGAUUUCCAUUUUGGUAUUUGCGCGCGCCCUGGUUUUGGUUUUUAUUGGUUGCGAUGGUAUUUCCUAUUAGUAAAAUGGGUAUCGUGCGCUUUUUUUUGCAAUAAAUAUUGCUUUUUUGUUUUAUUUUAUAUUAUUUGUAAUAACGCGCGCAAAUUAAAGAAAAAUGUUUCGUAUAUUUUUUUUUGGACCAUUAAUACAUUUUCGAAUUCGGGCAUUCCGCGGCAGGUUCGUACAAUUAUUAUAUACAAUUAACGUUCCUUUUGGUAUUCGUUUCCAAAUACGCGUUGCACGAAUUCUAAUUUAUUUAAUAAUAUUUCCAAUAUUUUUU
RNAcentral lists this small RNA (1934 nucleotides) under Pyricularia oryzae. RNAcentral's name for it is "Magnaporthe oryzae sRNA M_BR32_EuGene_00120771". The record is from RNAcentral. Lineage: Eukaryota; Fungi; Ascomycota; Sordariomycetes; Magnaporthales; Pyriculariaceae.